GUUUAUUUUAUUUUAAAAGUGAAAAUUACUAUUUAUUUUAGUGUGACUUGUUUAUAGUUUCUAAAAUUUUAUUGGUUUCAUUGAAAUUGAAAACAUAAGCGUUGAUUACUAUAAUUCUAGCUAUAGGUUGUGGGUAACCAUUACCACCCUAUUUAACAAACUUCUCAACUUAACCAAAAUUUACGAAUAGCAGCGGAAAGACUUUUUUUCCAAAAGUAGGCUCGGUUGUGGUCUUUAUCUUUAGCUUGUAGGUUAUACUUGGUGCAAAAAGCCUAAUUCAGGUUUUAAAUUGUUAACUUAUUUUAAAAUAAUUAUAAUUGUUAUUAUAAAAAUUUAUUUAUUUUACUUAUUUAUUUUUUUAGGUUGGGGGGGGGGGGCACAAGCCCCUCCCACAAGUCAAUAAGCACACCACCAAUAAAUGAAUUUCUUGUAGCAAAAAAAUUUUUUAUGUUUUUUAUACUGUAUACUAGUUUCACUUAUUUUAUUAAAUAUAGAAAUAUUUA
Molecule: non-coding RNA, 503 nt
Organism: Hydra vulgaris (swiftwater hydra)
Lineage: Eukaryota; Metazoa; Cnidaria; Hydrozoa; Anthoathecata; Hydridae
Source: RefSeq, a predicted model, not a curated record